Molecule: ribosomal RNA, 480 nt
Filed under: uncultured Gammaproteobacteria bacterium
Lineage: Bacteria; Pseudomonadati; Pseudomonadota; Gammaproteobacteria
Description: bacterial SSU rRNA
Rfam family: Bacterial small subunit ribosomal RNA
Source: RNAcentral
AUUGAACGCUGGCGGCAUGCCUAACACAUGCAAGUCGAACGGUAACAGGCCGCUGGGAUCCCUUCGGGGUGACCUUGGCGCUGACGAGUGGCGGACGGGUGAGUAAUGCGUAGGAAUUUACCUCAAAGCGGGGGAUAGCCCGGAGAAAUCCGGAUUAAUACCGCAUGUGCUCUACGGAGGAAAGCGGGCCUCUUCUUGAAAGCUCGCACUUUGAGAUAAGCCUACGUCGGAUUAGCUUGUUGGUAGGGUAAAAGCCUACCAAGGCGACGAUCCGUAGCUGGUUUGAGAGGAUGAUCAGCCACACUGGGACUGAGACACGGCCCAGACUCCUACGGGAGGCAGCAGUGGGGAAUAUUGGACAAUGGGCGCAAGCCUGAUCCAGCAAUGCCGCGUGAGUGAUGAAGGCCUUAGGGUUGUAAAGCUCUUUUACCCGGGAUGAUAAUGACAGUACCGGGAGAAUAAGCUCCGGCUAACUCCGUG